Molecule: long non-coding RNA, 3490 nt
Organism: Cercocebus atys (sooty mangabey)
Lineage: Eukaryota; Metazoa; Chordata; Mammalia; Primates; Cercopithecidae
Exons: 4
Source: RefSeq, a predicted model, not a curated record
CCACAUAGUUCAUCCUUCAAUAAAAGUCAGAUCAUAAGGUUUGUUUUUCAUUCAAAAGUGUGAUUUUCAUAAAUGAGAAAAAUGAUUGAUUUCAUCAAGUGCCGUGUCUACCUUGAUGUCUCUUGUAGGUAUUUAGCCAUUAUUAACAUCUGGAAAUAAAAUACAAGUCACCAUGCUACAGUCUCUUUUGAAUAGGAAUUACUGACGUUAAAAACAAACCACUUUGAGCCACUUGGUGGUGCCAUGCCCUUCUGAUUAACUGCAGAACGUUCCCUUUUUUCAACUGGGUUGUCACAUGAAGAGAGCUGGUGACACUCCUCACAAUGAUUACAUUCCAGUGUUUGAAAAAUAAAAUUCCUAAACGAGGGCUGUACAUGGCAUCCGCUUUUAGUUUUAUAGGCUAUAUAAAAAUGUGUUUCCUAAAAUAAAUCAUAAAUAAUAAUUAAAUUCAUUUCUGAUAGAAUAAACAUGUACUUCUUGGGAAUAUCCCCAUGUCCAGAAAUAUAUUAGGUUCUAUUGAGAGAUGCAAACGUAACACAGAACAAAGCUUCAUUCCUGCCUUGAGGAGAUUACCAUCUCAUUGAGCAUCUAAGGCUAACACAAUUAUACAAAAUCAUGGAAAUAAGUGCUGCAACUACAUGGUACAGUAUAAGCUCCAAGUGCUAUUCCAUUUAACCACAGGAUGGGAAUAAUAUGGUGGCUGUUGGGGGAGCCUUAAAAACUGGAGGCUUUGACCAGCUGACAGGAAGGUGUGAGAUGCUCCCGGGGGAUAGUGAGAAAUCUACUUGGGCCAAAGUACAAAAACAGAACCUCUCACUCCCUGGGUGUUCCAGGGAGCAGAUGGGUGAGGGAGAUGUGGAAAUACGGUUGGAUAAAGUGAAACUUGGAAAUAGAGUCCAAAUUUUCAAUGAAUAGUUUAGCUUGGGAGCCACAACUGUUGUUUUGUUUCAUUUUAAAUUAAAAGGUACUGUAGGAAAAAGGGUCAGGUAAGAGUCAUGUGGAUGGAAUGGGGACACCCUGUGGGGAGACCAGCUAAGAAGCUGCUGAAACACCCCCACAUGAGUGAGGAGGACUCCUGACAAGCCCAAGUGCCACUUCACCUCCCUGUGCCUCAAUUUCUUUAUCUGUGAAAUGGCGACAACAGUAACACCUACCACUCAUUGGAGGAUUAAAUGAGUUAACACAUGCAACACACUGAAAUGGGGCUUGGAAAAUUGAGGGCACUCUCUAUUCCUUAGCUGUGUUGUUAGCAAAUUAUUAGAAUAAGGUGCUAACAAUGGAAACGAAGUGAAAGAAGUGACUCAGGAGAGAAGAAACUAUAGCACUUUAUAAACAACAAGGAGGGUGAGCUCCAUUUUAAAAGUCAAAGCUAUAAAACUAUUUCUUUAAAAUAAACAGCAAUCAAUUCAUUUCUGUAAAAUUAGUCUACAUGUGUAUUUCUUUACAUCCAAGACCACAGCAGCAGAACUCCCAGGGGACCCCAAGGCUUCAGCCAUGGUGUCCAGGAGGAUAGUAAGACCCUGAAGCGGGGUGGAGAGAAGCAGAAGGAGAGAAGAUGCCCAGCAUGGGACCUGCUGAGCCCAGUGUCAUGGUGCAGUCUCCAAUUACAGCACAAAACCAGAAGGCAUCCUGUCAGCCAACGGGUCUGAUGGCCGACGGUUCCUUUAUUGCUAUUUGGAGGCCUACAACACAGACCCACUGUGAAAGUGGUCACAGGACCAAAACCCCAAAGAUGGCAAUGAGGCUCUUCAUCGGGAUUAUUUCUUGUGCCUCUUGUUUCUGAAGCGACCCUAUCCGAGAGAGUGCGCUGAACGUGAUGGAUGGGGAUCGUGGAUCGCAGCUGUCAUCAUCUAGGAAAACAUCAUGGCAAGAAGGGGAAAGAACAAGACUUAAGAUCAGAGCCUGAACUUCUGGACAUGGGCACCCUGACGUGAAAGGAGAAAUAAGGAAGGUGCUUCUGCAGGGCGAGCCCCAACACACAGAGGAUGAACUACCUGAUGCAGGAUACACUGUUCAGACACCCAAACCUGGGGUGCAACCCUCCCCACCUCCAUAUUUGUUAAACUUGUGGUAAAAUAUACAUAACACAAAAUUGACCAUUUUAACCAUUUUUUUGUCUAACUGUAAAUAAGUGUACAGUUCAUUGCAUGAAGUGCAUUCACAUUGUCGUGUUAUCAUCGCCACCGUUCAUCUCCAGAGCUUUUUCAUUUGCCUCAAUGCACAUGGAUUCUCAGCAGCCUCGUCAUGUAAGGGGUUUCCAGGCAAGACCUCUCUACUUAUAACACUAAGUGAGCCCUAAAGGCAAAAGAGCCCCGAAAGAGCAUGUGAAGUCCUCCAAACCAGCAUGGAGCUCCAAGACAUCCAGAACAAGAAAAGUCCUAACCCUGGAGGGCAAGGGGAGAGCUAGGAAGGGAAGCAUUCUCCAGGUUUCAGGCGGGUUAGCCAGGGACUGCUUGCCUGCAGAACAAGAGUCUCCACUGUCUCCCCUAGAUCCCCUCCAGCCAUUCUCCUGGUGGAGAGAGACUUCGGGUUUGGCGAGAAGGAUUCCAGUGAUCAAUUGUGCUUGGCUACACAUUGAGGACCAUCUCAGCCUUAUCCUCAUCAUUAUUAUAAUCCUUUUUAAAUGUAUCAUGGUUUAUUAUUUUUCAUAAAUCACAACCACAGAAAUUACAAAUUAUUCACAGUAGAGUUAAUUCCAAGCAAGCCAGAAAUGAGUCUGCAUAUACAGGCAUAAGUUUCCAUGACAAAUAGGAACAAGUAUAUAAAAUCCUACAGACAUACGACCCAUAACGUAUUGCAGAGCACUGAUUUCCCAUCUUUAAAACUUAUUGAAGAAAACUGCUAACAUAAGUGCUAUUUCAUUACUUUUCUCUCAGAUUUCUAGUUUAACCACUCUCUUUAUUCACCUAGCUGAAACUUACAACCAGCCGAGUAUAUAUAAAAGAAAAGAAAUCAUUGGGACUAACAGUUCAUUCCAAGUCUGAAUUAAUUCAUGUAGAACCGACAUUGUGAAGCGUUGUCUUUCUUUCCAAGAACAUCUGUAUUUAUCCAAGUCAAGGCUUCCUUAAGUCCCUAAGUAGUAAUAGUAAUAAUGACUAAUAUUUCUUGCACAUCUACUUGGUUCCAGGCUCUGUUCUAGUGGCUUUAUGUACCUGUUCAUAUGUGUACCCUGCAUGUAUGAGACUGGCUUUGCAUCAGGACAAUACAAUUGCAUAUGGAGGGAACCAAUAUUAUCCUCUUCAUAGACCAGAAAUGACAGUGUGGAGAAGUAGAAUUUUAUUUUUCCUUCAUAUAGACUCUGUCUGUUUUUUUCCUGGCAUUUUAUGGCUUUGACUGAAAGUGUGACUGAGAUGUCCUUUAAUGAGGACAUCUAUUAAAAGGCUAGGAUCCUGUGACCUGUUUAUUAGUCUAGUGAAUCAUGUAUGUAUGUUUCCAAAUGUUAAACGACUCUCAAAUUCUGGAAUAAACCCACUUUGCAAGGUGUAUUGUA